This 1063-nucleotide ribosomal RNA is filed under the name Bacillus sp. OTB130. RNAcentral's name for it is "bacterial SSU rRNA". It matches the Rfam family "Bacterial small subunit ribosomal RNA", at positions 371 to 1425 of the family's 1533-position model. The record is from RNAcentral. Lineage: Bacteria; Bacillati; Bacillota; Bacilli; Caryophanales; Bacillaceae.
AUGGACGAAAGUCUGACGGAGCAACGCCGCGUGAGCGAUGAAGGCCUUCGGGUCGUAAAGCUCUGUUGUCAGGGAAGAACAAGUAUCGGAGUAACUGCCGGUACCUUGACGGUACCUGACCAGAAAGCCACGGCUAACUACGUGCCAGCAGCCGCGGUAAUACGUAGGUGGCAAGCGUUGUCCGGAAUUAUUGGGCGUAAAGCGCGCGCAGGCGGUUCCUUAAGUCUGAUGUGAAAGCCCCCGGCUCAACCGGGGAGGGUCAUUGGAAACUGGGGAACUUGAGUGCAGAAGAGGAGAGCGGAAUUCCACGUGUAGCGGUGAAAUGCGUAGAGAUGUGGAGGAACACCAGUGGCGAAGGCGGCUCUCUGGUCUGUAACUGACGCUGAGGCGCGAAAGCGUGGGGAGCGAACAGGAUUAGAUACCCUGGUAGUCCACGCCGUAAACGAUGAGUGCUAAGUGUUAGAGGGUUUCCGCCCUUUAGUGCUGCAGCAAACGCAUUAAGCACUCCGCCUGGGGAGUACGGCCGCAAGGCUGAAACUCAAAGGAAUUGACGGGGGCCCGCACAAGCGGUGGAGCAUGUGGUUUAAUUCGAAGCAACGCGAAGAACCUUACCAGGUCUUGACAUCCUCUGACAACCCUAGAGAUAGGGCGUUCCCCUUCGGGGGACAGAGUGACAGGUGGUGCAUGGUUGUCGUCAGCUCGUGUCGUGAGAUGUUGGGUUAAGUCCCGCAACGAGCGCAACCCUUGAUCUUAGUUGCCAGCAUUCAGUUGGGCACUCUAAGGUGACUGCCGGUGACAAACCGGAGGAAGGUGGGGAUGACGUCAAAUCAUCAUGCCCCUUAUGACCUGGGCUACACACGUGCUACAAUGGAUGGAACAAAGGGCAGCGAAGCCGCGAGGUGAAGCCAAUCCCAUAAAACCAUUCUCAGUUCGGAUUGCAGGCUGCAACUCGCCUGCAUGAAGCCGGAAUCGCUAGUAAUCGCGGAUCAGCAUGCCGCGGUGAAUACGUUCCCGGGCCUUGUACACACCGCCCGUCACACCACGAGAGUUUGUAACACCCGAA